AAUCAACGCUGGCGGCGUGCCUAACACAUGCAAGUCGAACGCGAAAGUUCCUUCGGGGAUGAGUAGAGUGGCGUCCGGGUGAGUAACGCGUGGGUAAUCUGCCUUUGGGUGGGGGAUAACUCAGGGAAACUUGGGCUAAUACCGCAUAAUGCAGCGGCUCGACAUCGAGACAGUUGUUAAAGCAGCAAUGCGCCUGAAGAGGAGCCUGCGUCUGAUUAGCAGUUGGUAAGGUAAUGGCUUACCAAGGCUACGAUCAGUAGCUGGUCUGAGAGGACGGCCAGCCACACUGGCACUGACACACGGGCCAGACUCCUACGGGAGGCAGCAGUGGGGAAUUUUGGGCAAUGGGCGAAAGCCUGACCCAGCAACGCCGCGUGAGGGAGGAAAUCCUUCGGGAUGUAAACCUCACAAGCAAGGGAAGAGAGCGUGCGGGCUGAAUAAUCCCGUAGUGCGACGGUACCUUGCGUAAGCCACGGCUAACUACGUGCCAG
RNAcentral lists this ribosomal RNA (491 nucleotides) under uncultured bacterium. Its description in RNAcentral is "bacterial SSU rRNA". It matches the Rfam family "Bacterial small subunit ribosomal RNA", at positions 32 to 511 of the family's 1533-position model. The record is from RNAcentral.